This 1136-nucleotide ribosomal RNA is filed under the name Apilactobacillus kunkeei. Its description in RNAcentral is "bacterial SSU rRNA". It matches the Rfam family "Bacterial small subunit ribosomal RNA", at positions 40 to 1122 of the family's 1533-position model. The record is from RNAcentral. Lineage: Bacteria; Bacillati; Bacillota; Bacilli; Lactobacillales; Lactobacillaceae.
CGNAUGCGGGCUAUACAUGCAAGUCGAACGAGCUCUCCCAAAUUGAUUUUAUGCUUGCAUAAAUGAUUUUUGGAUUCGGAGCGAGCGGCCAACUGGGGAGUAACACGUGGGUAACCUGCCCCAAAGCGGGGGAUAACAUUUGGAAACAAGUGCUAAUACCGCAUAAUUAGUUGGAACCGCAUGGUUCCAACUUGAAAGAUGGCUCUGCUAUCACUUUGGGAUGGACCCGCGCCGUAUUAGUUAGUUGGUGAGAUAAAAGCCCACCAAGACGAUGAUACGUAGCCGACCUGAGAGGGUAAUCGGCCACAUUGGGACUGAGACACGGCCCAGACUCCUACGGGAGGCAGCAGUAGGGAAUCUUCCACAAUGGACGAAAGUCUGAUGGAGCAACGCCGCGUGAGUGAUGAAGGUUUUCGGAUCGUAAAACUCUGUUGUUAAAGAAGAACAAGUGUUAGAGUAACUGUUAACACUUUGACGGUAUUUAACCAGAAAGCCACGGCUAACUACGUGCCAGCAGCCGCGGUAAUACGUAGGUGGCAAGCGUUGUCCGGAUUUAUUGGGCGUAAAGCGAGCGCAGGCGGUUUUGUAAGUCUGCUGUGAAAGCCCUCAGCUUAACUGAGGAAGUGCAGUGGAAACUACAAAACUUGAGUACAGAAGAGGAAAGUGGAACUCCAUGUGUAGCGGUGAAAUGCGUAGAUAUAUGGAAGAACACCAGUGGCGAAGGCGGCUUUCUGGUCUGUUACUGACGCUGAGGCUCGAAAGCAUGGGUAGCGAACAGGAUUAGAUACCCUGGUAGUCCAUGCCGUAAACGAUGAAUACUAGGUGUUGGAGGGUUUCCGCCCUUCAGUGCCGCAGCUAACGCAUUAAGUAUUCCGCCUGGGGAGUACGACCGCAAGGUUGAAACUCAAAGGAAUUGACGGGGGCCCGCACAAGUGGUGGAGCAUGUGGUUUUAAUUCGAUGCUUCGCGAAGAACCUUACCAGCUCUUGGACAUCUUCUGCCAACCCAAGAGAUUGGGCGUUCCCUUCGGGGACCAGAAUGACAGGUGGUGCAUGGGUUGUCGUCAGCUCGUUGUUCGUGAGAUUGUUGGGGGUUAAGGUCCCGCAACCGAGGCGCCCANCCCNNNAUAUUANUAAG